AGCAGCCGCGGUAAUUCCAGCUCCAAUAGCGUAUAUUAAAGUUGUUGCAGUUAAAAAGCUCGUAGUUGAAUUUCGGGGUUAGUAGGUUGGUCAUGCCUCUGGUAUGUACUGGUCUCACUGAUUCCUCCUUCCUGAUGAACCUUAAUGCCAUUAAAUUUGGUGUUUUGGGGAAUUUGGACUGUUACUUUGAAAAACUAGAGUGUUUAAAGCAAGCUAACGCUUGAAUACAUUAGCAUGGAAUAAUGAAAUAGGACGUUCGAUCCUAUUUUGUGGUUUCUAGGAUUGACGUAAUGAUUAAUAGGGAUAGUUGGGGGCAUUAGUAUUCAAUUGUCAGAGGUGAAAUUCUUGGAUUUAUUGAAGACUAACUACUGCGAAAGCAUUUGCCAAGGAUGUUUUCAUUAAUCAAGAACGAAAGUUAGGGGAUCGAAGACGAUCAGAUACCGUCGUAGUCUUAACCAUAAACUAUGCCGACUAGGGAUCGGAUGAUGUUAAUUUUUUAAUGACUCAUUCGCGCCUUACG
Molecule: ribosomal RNA, 520 nt
Filed under: uncultured Glomeromycotina
Lineage: Eukaryota; Fungi; Glomeromycota
Description: SSU rRNA
Rfam family: Eukaryotic small subunit ribosomal RNA
Source: RNAcentral